CAAGUCGCACGAGAAAGUGGAGCAAUCCAUGAGUAAAGUGGCGCACGGGUGAGUAACACGUGAAUCAUCUACCUUCGAGUGGGGAAUAACUGGGAGAAAUCUCAGCUAAUACCGCAUAAUACCUACGGGUCAAAGCAGCAAUGCGCUUGAAGAGGAGUUCGCGGCAGAUUAGUUAGUUGGCGGGGUAAUGGCCCACCAAGACGAUGAUCUGUAUCCGGCCUGAGAGGGCGCACGGACACACUGGAACUGAAACACGGUCCAGACUCCUACGGGAGGCAGCAGUGGGGAAUUUUGCGCAAUGGGGGAAACCCUGACGCAGCAACGCCGCGUGGAGGAUGAAAUCCCUUGGGAUGUAAACUCCUUUCGAUGGGGAAGAUAAUGACGGUACCCAUAGAAGAAGCCCCGGCUAACUUCGUGCCAGCAGCCGCGGUAAUACGAGGGGGGCAAGCGUUGUUCGGAAUUAUUGGGCGUAAAGGGUGCGUAGGCGGUCUGACAAGUCUGAUGUGAAAUCUAUGGGCUCAACCCAUAGUCUGCAUCGGAAACUGUCGGGCUUGAGUAUGGGAGAGGUGAGUGGAAUUUCCGGUGUAGCGGUGAAAUGCGUAGAUAUCGGAAGGAACACCUGUGGCGAAAGCGGCUCACUGGACCAUUACUGACGCUGAGGCACGAAAGCUAGGGGAGCAAACAGGAUUAGAUACCCUGGUAGUCCUAGCCCUAAACGAUGAUCGCUUGAUGUGGCAGGUACCCAAUCCUGCCGUGUCGAAGCUAACGCGAUAAGCGAUCCGCCUGGGGAG
Molecule: ribosomal RNA, 791 nt
Filed under: uncultured Terriglobales bacterium
Lineage: Bacteria; Pseudomonadati; Acidobacteriota; Terriglobia; Terriglobales
Description: bacterial SSU rRNA
Rfam family: Bacterial small subunit ribosomal RNA
Source: RNAcentral